Molecule: ribosomal RNA, 2797 nt
Filed under: Staphylococcus aureus
Lineage: Bacteria; Bacillati; Bacillota; Bacilli; Caryophanales; Staphylococcaceae
Also listed under: 1 other name
Description: bacterial LSU rRNA
Rfam family: Bacterial large subunit ribosomal RNA
Source: RNAcentral
UUAAGUUAUUAAGGGCGCACGGUGGAUGCCUUGGCACUAGAAGCCGAUGAAGGACGUUACUAACGACGAUAUGCUUUGGGGAGCUGUAAGUAAGCUUUGAUCCAGAGAUUUCCGAAUGGGGAAACCCAGCAUGAGUUAUGUCAUGUUAUCGAUAUGUGAAUACAUAGCAUAUCAGAAGGCACACCCGGAGAACUGAAACAUCUUAGUACCCGGAGGAAGAGAAAGAAAAUUCGAUUCCCUUAGUAGCGGCGAGCGAAACGGGAAGAGCCCAAACCAACAAGCUUGCUUGUUGGGGUUGUAGGACACUCUAUACGGAGUUACAAAGGACGACAUUAGACGAAUCAUCUGGAAAGAUGAAUCAAAGAAGGUAAUAAUCCUGUAGUCGAAAAUGUUGUCUCUCUUGAGUGGAUCCUGAGUACGACGGAGCACGUGAAAUUCCGUCGGAAUCUGGGAGGACCAUCUCCUAAGGCUAAAUACUCUCUAGUGACCGAUAGUGAACCAGUACCGUGAGGGAAAGGUGAAAAGCACCCCGGAAGGGGAGUGAAAUAGAACCUGAAACCGUGUGCUUACAAGUAGUCAGAGCCCGUUAAUGGGUGAUGGCGUGCCUUUUGUAGAAUGAACCGGCGAGUUACGAUUUGAUGCAAGGUUAAGCAGUAAAUGUGGAGCCGUAGCGAAAGCGAGUCUGAAUAGGGCGUUUAGUAUUUGGUCGUAGACCCGAAACCAGGUGAUCUACCCUUGGUCAGGUUGAAGUUCAGGUAACACUGAAUGGAGGACCGAACCGACUUACGUUGAAAAGUGAGCGGAUGAACUGAGGGUAGCGGAGAAAUUCCAAUCGAACCUGGAGAUAGCUGGUUCUCUCCGAAAUAGCUUUAGGGCUAGCCUCAAGUGAUGAUUAUUGGAGGUAGAGCACUGUUUGGACGAGGGGCCCCUCUCGGGUUACCGAAUUCAGACAAACUCCGAAUGCCAAUUAAUUUAACUUGGGAGUCAGAACAUGGGUGAUAAGGUCCGUGUUCGAAAGGGAAACAGCCCAGACCACCAGCUAAGGUCCCAAAAUAUAUGUUAAGUGGAAAAGGAUGUGGCGUUGCCCAGACAACUAGGAUGUUGGCUUAGAAGCAGCCAUCAUUUAAAGAGUGCGUAAUAGCUCACUAGUCGAGUGACACUGCGCCGAAAAUGUACCGGGGCUAAACAUAUUACCGAAGCUGUGGAUUGUCCUUUGGACAAUGGUAGGAGAGCGUUCUAAGGGCGUUGAAGCAUGAUCGUAAGGACAUGUGGAGCGCUUAGAAGUGAGAAUGCCGGUGUGAGUAGCGAAAGACGGGUGAGAAUCCCGUCCACCGAUUGACUAAGGUUUCCAGAGGAAGGCUCGUCCGCUCUGGGUUAGUCGGGUCCUAAGCUGAGGCCGACAGGCGUAGGCGAUGGAUAACAGGUUGAUAUUCCUGUACCACCUAUAAUCGUUUUAAUCGAUGGGGGGACGCAGUAGGAUAGGCGAAGCGUGCGAUUGGAUUGCACGUCUAAGCAGUAAGGCUGAGUAUUAGGCAAAUCCGGUACUCGUUAAGGCUGAGCUGUGAUGGGGAGAAGACAUUGUGUCUUCGAGUCGUUGAUUUCACACUGCCGAGAAAAGCCUCUAGAUAGAAAAUAGGUGCCCGUACCGCAAACCGACACAGGUAGUCAAGAUGAGAAUUCUAAGGUGAGCGAGCGAACUCUCGUUAAGGAACUCGGCAAAAUGACCCCGUAACUUCGGGAGAAGGGGUGCUCUUUAGGGUUAACGCCCAGAAGAGCCGCAGUGAAUAGGCCCAAGCGACUGUUUAUCAAAAACACAGGUCUCUGCUAAACCGUAAGGUGAUGUAUAGGGGCUGACGCCUGCCCGGUGCUGGAAGGUUAAGAGGAGUGGUUAGCUUCUGCGAAGCUACGAAUCGAAGCCCCAGUAAACGGCGGCCGUAACUAUAACGGUCCUAAGGUAGCGAAAUUCCUUGUCGGGUAAGUUCCGACCCGCACGAAAGGCGUAACGAUUUGGGCACUGUCUCAACGAGAGACUCGGUGAAAUCAUAGUACCUGUGAAGAUGCAGGUUACCCGCGACAGGACGGAAAGACCCCGUGGAGCUUUACUGUAGCCUGAUAUUGAAAUUCGGCACAGCUUGUACAGGAUAGGUAGGAGCCUUUGAAACGUGAGCGCUAGCUUACGUGGAGGCGCUGGUGGGAUACUACCCUAGCUGUGUUGGCUUUCUAACCCGCACCACUUAUCGUGGUGGGAGACAGUGUCAGGCGGGCAGUUUGACUGGGGCGGUCGCCUCCUAAAAGGUAACGGAGGCGCUCAAAGGUUCCCUCAGAAUGGUUGGAAAUCAUUCAUAGAGUGUAAAGGCAUAAGGGAGCUUGACUGCGAGACCUACAAGUCGAGCAGGGUCGAAAGACGGACUUAGUGAUCCGGUGGUUCCGCAUGGAAGGGCCAUCGCUCAACGGAUAAAAGCUACCCCGGGGAUAACAGGCUUAUCUCCCCCAAGAGUUCACAUCGACGGGGAGGUUUGGCACCUCGAUGUCGGCUCAUCGCAUCCUGGGGCUGUAGUCGGUCCCAAGGGUUGGGCUGUUCGCCCAUUAAAGCGGUACGCGAGCUGGGUUCAGAACGUCGUGAGACAGUUCGGUCCCUAUCCGUCGUGGGCGUAGGAAAUUUGAGAGGAGCUGUCCUUAGUACGAGAGGACCGGGAUGGACAUACCUCUGGUGUACCAGUUGUCGUGCCAACGGCAUAGCUGGGUAGCUAUGUGUGGACGGGAUAAGUGCUGAAAGCAUCUAAGCAUGAAGCCCCCC